AGCGAACGCUGGCGGCAGGCCUAACACAUGCAAGUCGAACGAACCUUUCGGGGUUAGUGGCGGACGGGUGAGUAACACGUGGGAACGUGCCUUUAGGUUCGGAAUAACUCAGGGAAACUUGUGCUAAUACCGAAUGUGCCCUUCGGGGGAAAGAUUAAUCGCCUUUAGAGCGGCCCGCGUCUGAUUAGCUAGUUGGUUGAGGUAAUGGCUCACCAAGGCGACGAUCAGUAGCUGGUCUGAGAGGAUGAUCAGCCACAUUGGGACUGAGACACGGCCCAAACUCCUACGGGAGGCAGCAGUGGGGAAUCUUGCGCAAUGGGCGAAAGCCUGACGCAGCCAUGCCGCGUGAAUGAUGAAGGUCUUAGGAUUGUAAAAUUCUUUCACCGGGGACGAUAAUGACGGUACCCGGAGAAGAAGCCCCGGCUAACUUCGUGC
RNAcentral lists this ribosomal RNA (435 nucleotides) under uncultured bacterium. RNAcentral's name for it is "partial 16S ribosomal RNA". It matches the Rfam family "Bacterial small subunit ribosomal RNA", at positions 29 to 508 of the family's 1533-position model. The record is from RNAcentral.